Molecule: ribosomal RNA, 379 nt
Filed under: uncultured bacterium
Lineage: Bacteria
Description: bacterial SSU rRNA
Rfam family: Bacterial small subunit ribosomal RNA
Source: RNAcentral
UAAUACGUAGGAGGCAAGCGUUGUCCGGACUGACUGGGCGUAAAGCGCGCGCAGGCGGAGCAGGGCGUCGGUGCUGAAAUCGGGCCGCUUAACGGCCCGCGGCGUGCCGAUACGCCUGUUCUGGAGCGCGGGCGAGGGUGGUGGAAUUGCCGGUGUAGUGGUGAAAUGCGUAGAGAUCGGCAGGAACACCCGUGGCGCAAGCGGCCACCUAGCCCGUUGCUGACGCUGAGGCGCGACAGCGUGGGGAGCGAACUGGAUUAGAUACCCAGGUAGUCCACGCCGUAAACGAUGCCGACUCGGUAUCGGGCGGUCUACCGACCGCCGGGUGCCCCAGCUUACGCGGUAAGUCGGCCGCCUGGGGACUACGAGCGCAAGCUUA